RNAcentral lists this ribosomal RNA (98 nucleotides) under Acanthosepion pharaonis. The record is from RNAcentral. Lineage: Eukaryota; Metazoa; Mollusca; Cephalopoda; Sepiida; Sepiidae.
UUGAAACACUGGUUCUUGUAUGAUUACCUAAGUUAAACAACAUCUAGCCUGGUCAGUACCUAGAUGGGUGACUGCUUGGGAAUACCAGGUGCUGUAAG